CUGGCUCAGGAUGAACGCUGGCGGUAUGCCUAACACAUGCAAGUCGAACGGUGUCUUCGGACAUAGUGGCGGACGGGUGAGUAACGCGUGAGAAUCUACCUCUAGGUUGGGGACAACAGUUGGAAACGACUGCUAAUACCCAAUGUGCCGUAAGGUGAAAGAUUUAUUGCCUGGAGAAGAGCUCGCGUCUGAUUAGCUAGUUGGCGGGGUAAAAGCCCACCAAGGCAUCGAUCAGUAGCUGGUCUGAGAGGAUGAGCAGCCACACUGGGACUGAGACACGGCCCAGACUCCUACGGGAGGCAGCAGUGGGGAAUUUUCCGCAAUGGGCGAAAGCCUGACGGAGCAAUACCGCGUGAGGGAGGAAGGCUCUUGGGUUGUAAACCUCUUUUCUUAGGGAAGAACAAAUGACGGUACCUAAGGAAUAAGCAUCGGCUAACUCCGUGCCAGCAGCCGCGGUAAUACGGAGGAUGCAAGCGUUAUCCGGAAUUAUUGGGCGUAAAGCGUCCGCAGGUGGUUUUUCAAGUCUGCUGUCAAAGACUGGAGCUUAACUCCGGAAAGGCAGUGGAAACUGGGAGACUAGAGUCCGGUAGGGGUAGCGGGAAUUCCCAGUGUAGCGGUGAAAUGCGUAGAUAUUGGGAAGAACAUCGGUGGCGAAGGCGCGCUACUGGACCGGAACUGACACUCAGGGACGAAAGCUAGGGGAGCGAAAGGGAUUAGAUACCCCUGUAGUCCUAGCUGUAAACGAUGGAAACUAGGUGUGGCUUGUAUCGACCCGAGCCGUGCCGUAGCUAACGCGUUAAGUUUCCCGCCUGGGGAGUACGCACGCAAGUGUGAA
RNAcentral lists this ribosomal RNA (835 nucleotides) under uncultured bacterium. RNAcentral's name for it is "bacterial SSU rRNA". It matches the Rfam family "Bacterial small subunit ribosomal RNA", at positions 19 to 898 of the family's 1533-position model. The record is from RNAcentral.